GACGAACGCUGGCGGCGUGCUUAACACAUGCAAGUCGAACGGAAAGGCCCUGCUUUUGUGGGGUGCUCGAGUGGCGAACGGGUGAGUAACACGUGAGUAGCCUGCCCUUGACUUUGGGAUAACUUCAGGAAACUGGGGCUAAUACCGGAUAGGAGCUCCUGCUGCAUGGUGGGGGUUGGAAAGUUUCGGCGGUUGGGGAUGGACUCGCGGCUUAUUAGCUUGUUGGUGGGGUAGUGGCUUACCCAGGCUUUGACGGGUAGCCGGCCUGAGAGGGUGACCGGCCACAUUGGGAUUGAGAUACGGCCCAGACUCCUACGGGAGGCAGCAGUGGGGAAUAGUGCACAAUGGGCGGAAGCCUGAUGCAGCAACGCCGCGUGGGGGAUGACGGCCUUCGGGUUGGAAACCGCUUUCGCCUGUGACGAAGCGUGAGUGACGGUAAUGGGUAAAGAAGCACCGGCUAACUACGUG
Molecule: ribosomal RNA, 468 nt
Filed under: uncultured bacterium
Lineage: Bacteria
Description: partial 16S ribosomal RNA
Rfam family: Bacterial small subunit ribosomal RNA
Source: RNAcentral